Molecule: ribosomal RNA, 241 nt
Filed under: uncultured bacterium
Lineage: Bacteria
Description: partial 16S ribosomal RNA
Rfam family: Bacterial small subunit ribosomal RNA
Source: RNAcentral
CGUGGGUAACCUGCCUUAUAGUGGGGGAUAGCCUUUCGAAAGGAAGAUUAAUACCGCAUAAGAUUGUAGUAUCGCAUGAUAUAGCAAUUAAAGUAGCAAUUCGCUAUAAGAUGGACCCGCGUCGCAUUAGCUAGUUGGUGAGGUAAUGGCUCACCAAGGCGACGAUGCGUAGCCGACCUGAGAGGGUGAUCGGCCACAUUGGGACUGAGACACGGCCCAGACUCCUACGGGAGGCAGCAUG